Molecule: unclassified non-coding RNA, 972 nt
Filed under: Hevea brasiliensis (rubber tree)
Lineage: Eukaryota; Viridiplantae; Streptophyta; Magnoliopsida; Malpighiales; Euphorbiaceae
Source: RNAcentral
GGAUCUCCUGCAUAAACCGGGACUCUACUGUGACCCUUUGUCAUUAUUGCAUUCAAUGUGUCCCUACAUUGCACAGAUAGAGAAACAAUGCAGGGUUAAAACAUCAGAAUGAGUGAAAGAUGGCUACAAGAAUUAACAAGAAUCCACAAACCCACAAAUUAAGAGUUGCAUCCAGAUCAAGCGAAAAUGCUUUCGAUAUGGGAGUCAUGGCAUCUUUUGCUGUCUUUUCAGUCAAUUCAAGUGCCCCAGUAAUUAUAGUAGUCUCAUCAUGUGUCAAAUCCCCACCUUUACCUCAUUGCCAUGAAAAUUAACAAAAGUUUUGAGCUCUGCUCUCCGUAAAAGGACAGCAUGUCCUUUGCCCAACAUCCAAUCCAGAACCUUACUAAUUGGAUAAGAAAUGGGGUAGAACAACAUAACAAGAACACGAACAAAUGGUGCCAUUAUUGCUCCGACUUUCAAGCCAUAACGAGUACAUACUGCUUGUGGCAAUAUCUAUUAUCGAAUAAACAAUUACAAAAAUAUAGAAUCUUCUUCAUGUAUAAAAAGCAUAUAGCUUCUAACAACUCAACAAAGCUUAAACAAUAUAAUGAUCUACCUCUCCAAACAUUAGUAUGAGAGUUACUGAUAUCAGAAUUGCAGCCCAAGGAGGCACAAUCUUGUCCAAGAAUAUGGGAAGAGCCUCCAUUGCUAAAGAGUUGCCAAUCAACAGAGUACAUAGCAGAAGAUGCUGAUUCUUUACCACUGGCAAUAUUUUAGCGGCAUGGAUUCGAUCCUUAGGACGACCAGAAUUCUUGAGGACUUCAAGGUCGACGAGGCCUAAAGACAUGAGACCCAGCGUUAGGCCAGCCAUGAGGCCAGCAAAUACCACUAGCCCCAUUAUUAUGAGCACAUACAAGGAGAACUCAGUCCCACAGCAGCCAACGUCACUCGCCAUCCGUGUCUGUGUGUUUAUCAGAGAAGGAGAAAAUUACC